GAGUUACUGCCAUUGCAUCUUUGUGACAGAGAACAGCUGUUGGCAGGAAGAAGUAGCUUUUAUUAUCACGCACUCAUUCAUAAGCCUUCAUUAUAAAAAACAAAUACGGAGCUAAGAGGCCCAGUUGGCUGCAUUUGUGAUUGGAAAUAAAAGCUGAUAACAUAGCACAAAAGUGCAUAGAACCACUGAUCAGUUCAUCUACGCACGUUCGCCUUUACAGAAGGGAAAGAAUGGAUUGGCGAAGAGUUUUGCUUUGGGUAGGGAUCUGCGUAAUUAUAAGUACUUGCCUUGAAGAAGGAGUGGAAGCUUUUCAUCAGAGAACUGGAAGAAGGAGAUCAAGUGGAAAGAGGAAUUUAUGGGUAGAGAGGAAUGAAAUCCAUCCCUUAGACAACCUAAAGCGAAGAGAAGAAAUACUGAAGAUAUAUGAGACAGGCAUUGCGGAGGACGAUGCACCGUUAGUAGAAGAAAGCCGGUCACAAGGACAGUUUUAACCAGAAGAACACAGAAACAUCAUCUAAGUUAACUCUUAACGUACUCGCGAUCACGAUAGAUACCAUCAAUAUUGCCGUAUAGUGUGACCUAUACUAGUAUUCACGGGUAAACAUAACUUAAAAAAGAAAAAUAAUAAAAAAUGUUGAAGCCUA
This is a long non-coding RNA of Stylophora pistillata, 644 nucleotides long. RefSeq lists it as uncharacterized. The record is from RefSeq and is a predicted model, not a curated record. Lineage: Eukaryota; Metazoa; Cnidaria; Anthozoa; Scleractinia; Pocilloporidae.